UGGGGAAUAUUGCGCAAUGGGGGGAACCCUGACGCAGCCAUGCCGCGUGAAUGAAGAAGGCCUUAGGGUUGUAAAGUUCUUUCGGUAUUGAGGAAGGUUGAUGUGUUAAUAGCACAUCAAAUUGACGUUAAAUACAGAAGAAGCACUGGCUAACUCCGUGCCAGCAGCCGCGGUAAUACGGAGGGUGCGAGCGUUAAUCGGAAUAACUGGGCGUAAAGGGCACGCAGGCGGUUAUUUAAGUGAGGUGUGAAAGCCCCGGGCUUAACCUGGGAAUUGCAUUUCAGACUGGGUAACUAGAGUACUUUAGGGAGGGGUAGAAUUCCACAUGUAGCGGUGAAAUGCGUAGAGAUGUGGAGGAAUACCGAAGGCGAAGGCAGCCCCUUGGGAAUGUACUGACGCUCAUGUGCGAAAGCGUGGGGAGCAAACAGGAUUAGAUACCCUGGUAGUCCACGCUGUAAACGCUGUCGAUUUGGGGGUUGGGGUUUAACUCUGGCGCCCGUAGCUAACGUGAUAAAUCGACCGCCUGGGGAGUACGGCCGCAAGGUUA
This 547-nucleotide ribosomal RNA is filed under the name uncultured bacterium. RNAcentral's name for it is "bacterial SSU rRNA". It matches the Rfam family "Bacterial small subunit ribosomal RNA", at positions 355 to 896 of the family's 1533-position model. The record is from RNAcentral.